CAAAACUCGUACCUUUUGCAUCAUGAUCUAGCCAGCACCUUCAAGCAAAGAGAACUCCAGUUUGCAACCCCGAAACCUACAACGAGCUACCCCGGGGCCGCCUAAAAUAGGGCAAACCCAUCUCUGUGGCAAAAGAGUGGAAAGACCCCCAGGUAGAGGUGAAAAGCCUACCGAGUCAGGUUAUAGCUGGUUGCUCAGAAAAUGAAUAGUAGUUCAGCCCCAUAACGCCCCCAACCGACCAUAAUUAUCCUAUAGGUAAAAGAGCCACUUAUGAGAGUUAGUUGAAGGAGGUACAGCUCCUUUAACAAAGGAUACAACCUUAAAUAGGAGGUUAAGGAAUACACUUUACCGAAGGCUCAAAAGUUUUAGUGGGCCUAAAGGCAGCCAUCUAAAUAGAAAGCGUUAAAGCUUAAACAAAACUAAGCCUAAUAUCCCAUUCAACCCUCCAAUACCCCUACGUAUUACUGAGCCAUUUUAUGCUCCCAUAAAAGAGACCAUGCUAGAACAAGUAAUAAGAAGAAUGAACUUCUCCCCGCACAUGUGUAAAUCGAACCGGACAAACCACCGAUAAUUAACGAACCCAAAAACAGAGGGCCCCACGCAACCACCACUCAAACCAAGAAAACCACGUCCCACCACAAUCGUUACCCCUACACAGGAGUGCACACACCCAAAGGAAAGACCAAAAGGACAAAAAGGAACUCGGCAAACCAAAACCCCGCCUGUUUACCAAAAACAUCGCCUCCUGCUACUAAC
This 756-nucleotide ribosomal RNA is filed under the name Ilisha striatula (banded ilisha). RNAcentral's name for it is "partial 16S ribosomal RNA". The stretch from base 1 to 504 matches the Rfam family "Bacterial large subunit ribosomal RNA", at positions 593 to 1301 of the family's 2925-position model. Lineage: Eukaryota; Metazoa; Chordata; Actinopteri; Clupeiformes; Pristigasteridae. The record is from RNAcentral.